This 492-nucleotide ribosomal RNA is filed under the name uncultured bacterium. Its description in RNAcentral is "partial 16S ribosomal RNA". It matches the Rfam family "Bacterial small subunit ribosomal RNA", at positions 29 to 507 of the family's 1533-position model. The record is from RNAcentral.
AGUGAACGCUGGCGGUAGGCCUAACACAUGCAAGUCGAACGGCAGCACAGUAAGAGCUUGCUCUUACGGGUGGCGAGUGGCGGACGGGUGAGGAAUACAUCGGAAUCUACUUUUUCGUGGGGGAUAACGUAGGGAAACUUACGCUAAUACCGCAUACGACCUACGGGUGAAAGCAGGGGAUCUUCGGACCUUGCGCGAUUGAAUGAGCCGAUGUCGGAUUAGCUAGUUGGCGGGGUAAAGGCCCACCAAGGCGACGAUCCGUAGCUGGUCUGAGAGGAUGAUCAGCCACACUGGAACGGAGACACGGUCCAGACUCCUACGGAAGGCAGCAGUGGGGAAUAUUGGACAAUGGGCGCAAGCCUGAUCCAGCCAUACCGCGUGGGUGAAGAAGGCCUUCGGGUUGUAAAGCCCUUUUGUUGGGAAAGAAAAGCAGCAGGUUAAUACCCCGCUGUUCUGACGGUACCCAAAGAAUAAGCACCGGCUAACUUCGUG